AUGUCUGGGAAACUGCCCGGUGGAGGGGGAUAACUACUGAAAACGGUAGCUAAUACCGCAUAACGUCGCAAGACCAAAGAGGGGGACCUUCGGGCCUCUUGCCACCGGAUGUGCCCAGAUGGGAUUAGCUUGUUGGUGAGGUAACGGCUCACCAAGGCGACGAUCCCUAGCUGGUCUGAGAGGAUGACCAGCCACACUGGAACUGAGACACGGUCCAGACUCCUACGGGAGGCAGCAGUGGGGAAUAUUGCACAAUGGGCGCAAGCCUGAUGCAGCCAUGCCGCGUGUAUGAAGAAGGCCUUCGGGUUGUAAAGUACUUUCAGCGGGGAGGAAGGGGUUGUGGUUAAUAACCACAGUCAUUGACGUUACCCGCAGAAGAAGCACCGGCUAACUCCGUGCCAGCAGCCGCGGUAAUACGGAGGGUGCAAGCGUUAAUCGGAAUUACUGGGCGUAAAGCGCACGCAGGCGGUCUGUCAAGUCGGAUGUGAAAUCCCCGGGCUCAACCUGGGAACUGCAUUCGAAACUGGCAGGCUUGAGUCUCGUAGAGGGGGGUAGAAUUCCAGGUGUAGCGGUGAAAUGCGUAGAGAUCUGGAGGAAUACCGGUGGCGAAGGCGGCCCCCUGGACGAAGACUGACGCUCA
This 640-nucleotide ribosomal RNA is filed under the name Citrobacter sp. KC-1. RNAcentral describes it as "bacterial SSU rRNA". It matches the Rfam family "Bacterial small subunit ribosomal RNA", at positions 113 to 749 of the family's 1533-position model. The record is from RNAcentral. Lineage: Bacteria; Pseudomonadati; Pseudomonadota; Gammaproteobacteria; Enterobacterales; Enterobacteriaceae.